Molecule: ribosomal RNA, 482 nt
Filed under: Rhodococcus sp. A12(2010)
Lineage: Bacteria; Bacillati; Actinomycetota; Actinomycetes; Mycobacteriales; Nocardiaceae
Description: bacterial SSU rRNA
Rfam family: Bacterial small subunit ribosomal RNA
Source: RNAcentral
GAGUUUGAUCAUGGUUCAGGACGAACGCUGGCGGCGUGCUUAACACAUGCAAGUCGAGCGGUAAGGCCCUUCGGGGUACACGAGCGGCGAACGGGUGAGUAACACGUGGGUGAUCUGCCCUGCACUUCGGGAUAAGCCUGGGAAACUGGGUCUAAUACCGGAUAUGACCUUCGGCUGCAUGGCUGAGGGUGGAAAGGUUUACUGGUGCAGGAUGAGCCCGCGGCCUAUCAGCUUGUUGGUGGGGUAAUGGCCUACCAAGGCGACGACGGGUAGCCGACCUGAGAGGGUGACCGGCCACACUGGGACUGAGACACGGCCCAGACUCCUACGGGAGGCAGCAGUGGGGAAUAUUGCACAAUGGGCGAAAGCCUGAUGCAGCGACGCCGCGUGAGGGAUGACGGCCUUCGGGUUGUAAACCUCUUUCAGCAGGGACGAAGCGAAAGUGACGGUACCUGCAGAAGAAGCACCGGCCUAACUACGUG